UCCAGCCCACACAAGGACAAAAACAUUUUCUGUGGUAAAUGAUAGAGGCAGUUAGUUACAUUAGAAGAGAGACCUCACCAAUAUCAGCCCUGUAGUGGGCCCCAGGAAAAUGAUUUGGUCCCUAGUCCUUGCUUUUCUUGAGAUAGAUACAUUUUUGGAAGGACCAAAGAACCAAUUAUAUUUGUGUUAACUUAGUACCCAAUGUCCUAUUCUAGCAUAUUAACCGAAGGCCUUCAGGUUAUGUGAAACAAAAGAAUUUUGUGAGUGUUCACCUGGGCUUCAGGACAUGGGAGGUUCCAGGCAACCAGAACAGCCUGACGCACACUGAAGGAGCAAUCAGACUGGGUUUGGUCUCAAAUCUGUGACUUCAGGCAAGUUACAGAUUUCUCCAAACUCCAGUUUUCUCAUCUGCAAAAUGGUGAUGAUGAUAUCUGUCUUGUUAUCUUACUAGGUUGUUAGAAGGACUGAAUGAGAUGAAGUAGAGGAAAGUCUUCUAGGACAGGGGUCCUCAACCCUUGGGCCACAGACUGGUGGCAGGAGGGCUGCACAGCAGGUGAGCAGUGGGUGAGUGAGCAAAGCUUCCUCUGUUCACAGCCUCUCACCGUCACUCACACUACCACCUGAGCUCUGCCUCCUGUCAGAUCAGCAGCAGCAUUAGAUUCUCACGUGAGUGUGAACCCUAUUGUGAACUGCAUAUGCGAGGGAUCUAGGUUGCAUGUUCCUUAUGAGAAUCUAAUGCCUGAUGAUCUGUCAUUGUCUCCCAUCACCCCCAGAUGGGAUGCCUGGUUGCAAGAAAACAAGCUCAGGGCUCCCACAGAUUCUACGUGAUGCAGUUUUCACAGAUUUGUGGCCAGAUGCUAGAGACAAAGGCUGAGAAGUUGUCCAGGACGUCAUAUUCUUGCUUUGCUGGAGGCAGAUCUGAAGGAUGUCAUCUCUCCUGUGGCUUCUUCUAGUGUGGGGUCCCGAAGCCUGGCUUCCCCAGCCGAUGUGCUGCUUUAGUCAGCGUCUGCCCUGGUCCUUCGGUUCGCAGGCUCACACGCUUUUUUGGGUUGUGUCCCUUUGGACUGCAGAGGCUACGUGUCCUGUGACCAACCACGAAGGCGGCCACUCCCGCUCCCCUCAGGAGUGUCUUAAAAUACCUCCAUUUUAGCUACCCUAUUGAAUGACAGGUUAGCUGGGUGCUGGGUUUUCAGGUGAUGGACAUUUUCCCUCAGUCCUCUGAAGGUGUUGCUGGCUUCAGGCAUUGAUGCCGCCACUCUGAUUGUUGUAUGCAGUGAGCAAACUAGAAUUUUCUCUUGGCUUUCUAGAUUUUCUUCUUUAUAUUCUGAAACUUUAUUAUAUCAAGGUUUGAAUUUUAUUUUUUUUGGAGACAGGGUCCUACUCUGUCAUCCAGGCUGGAGUGCAAUGGUGCAGUCCUGCUCACUGCAGCCUCCAAGUCCAGGGCUGAAGCGAUCCUUCUGCCUCAGCCUCCUAAGUAGCUGGGAUCACAGGUGUGCACCACUCUGCCUAACAAGGCUUGUUUUUUGUUUGUUUGUUUGUUUUAAAUAAAUACAUUCAGAUUGUUUUGCCCCUUGAUGAGUUUUUCAGUCUGCAUAGUCCUGUCAUUUUUUCACUUCUGGAAAAUUCUUAGUCAUGAUUUCUGCAAAUAUUUCCUCUCAUUCUGUUUUUUCCUUCUGGAACUCUUUCAUUACCUUUUUGUAGUCAUCUCUUUAUUUCCCUAUACUGCAUUUUUUAAUGGUUUCUUCUGUUCUGUUUUUACAAAUUCUAUCUAUCUUCACAUGGAUUUAGUCUAUUUUUUACUUUUACUCAUUAAUUUAAAAAUACAUUUAACUCCAUUUUCACUAAUGAGGGUGUAUGUGCAUUUAGUUUUUACUUUUAAAGAAGCAGGGUCUUGCUCUGCUGUUGAGGCUGGUAUUGAACUCCUGGGGCUCAAGCAGUGCAAGGAGCUGAGACUACAGGCAUGCGCUACCAC
This 1972-nucleotide long non-coding RNA is filed under the name Homo sapiens (human). RNAcentral's name for it is "HSALNT0086215". Lineage: Eukaryota; Metazoa; Chordata; Mammalia; Primates; Hominidae. The record is from RNAcentral.